RNAcentral lists this long non-coding RNA (1849 nucleotides) under Mytilus galloprovincialis (Mediterranean mussel). Lineage: Eukaryota; Metazoa; Mollusca; Bivalvia; Mytilida; Mytilidae. The record is from RNAcentral.
ACUAGAUGCAAAUCAGAGGUAACUGAGAGUUCAAGUAAAUUUAAUGUAUUAACAAUUUGUUUACUUCGUUUGGUAAUUCAUCAGUAGAUCGCACUAGGAUGGCAUCCACUUGAAUUUUCUACUGUCAUGGAUUGCAAUAGGAAAUUCAAUCAUGUAUUUCACCUGAACAAAGGAAGGAGUGAAAUCGACCAACUACCAAAGAUUUAAAGAUCAUUUAAAAUAUGGUAUAUAAAAAAAAAUCACAAUAAAUACUGAAAUCCGAGGAAAAUUCAAAACGGAAAGUCUCUAAUCAAAUGACAAAACCAAACGCUCAAAAACAUCAAACAAAUGGAUAACAACUGCCAUAUUCCUGACUUGGUACAGACAUCUUCUUAUGUAGAAAAUGGCGGAUUGAACCUAGUUUAAUAGCUAGCUAAAUAUCUCACUUGUAUGACAGUCGCAUCAAAUUCCAUUAUAUUGAGAACGAUGCGUGAACAAAACAAUCAGGUGAAAAUGUCAAAAAUAGGGGUACAGCAGUCAUUAUUGUGUUAUAAUCUUAAUCACAAAAAAAUAUGUAACAAAGAUAUAGACCAAUCAUAUUAGAAAAAUCAAAGACAAGAAUACACAAGUUUACAAUACCACAAAAAAAUUACACAAUUACGGGAUGUAUGAAUACAGAGCCACGUAUUUAUGUAGCUUCUGUCGUAAUCACGCGGCUUUUGGUAAACAAAGCGAUAUUUCUGUUGCGUUUGCAACCAGAAAUUAUCCUUUAACUUGCAAUAGACGAAACACAAAUGAAGUUCUAAUCUUUUAAUCAUAAAACCUAUUUUAGGAAAAAAUAUUUUACAAAUACAAUACGUUAGCUAACAAAGUUAUGCGAAUUACACACUUUCCUAAAUGUAUAUCCGGAAUUAUUUUUUCUGAAUAUACACAUAUUAAGCUAGUUGACGUUAAACAAUGUUUAUUAGUAUUAAUAAAUAUACAACAAUUCUUGAUGUAAAAAAAAUAGUGCAUCACUAAGUAAUUCAAAAUAACAGUUACAUGUAGGUAUAAAAAAAUAUGCACAAAAAUAUAUCGGUGAACACAAUGAUUCAGACAUACUAACACAACUCAUUAUAGUCUAGAUAUAGACUGCCAAAUAAAAUAUGGUUACACACCAAGAAAAAUUGAUUUUCAUUAUAGAUCACGCCUUACAGAGACUUCUGGUGGAAAUUUCCUAAUGAUAUAUGACAUAAAAGCCUACUUUUGAUUGAAAGGCGUCUGCCUGCAGAGGAUGAUUUCUGUGAUAUUUCAAAUGUUUUAUUAUGAAGAUUUUGCAAGUACUGUAAACCAACUUAUUUUCGUGAGCGAUUUAUUUUCGCGACUUUCGCGAGGAGAAAAAUAACGCGAACAUAAAUCGUCGCGAAUAAGUAAAUCUUUAUUAAUCUACAUCAAGUAAAUAAGAAAACCGUGAAUCUUAAAAGCCGCGAAUUGGACUAGAAUUGGUAUAACACGAAAUGGACUAGAUUUGAUAUAACGCGAAAUACAGUAUCCGCGAAAAUAAGUUGGUUUACAGUAUUGUAAACUUAUAUUAACAAAAGUUCUUUCAUUUGUUUCUUAACAAGAGGUUAAUUUUAUAACUGAAAAUGUGUAUAUACAAACACAAAUAAUGGCAAUAGUAUAAUAAAACAUUUUUGCUUAUAAACUUAAUGUAAUAGACUUGUUUCUGAUUUUGCAAAAGCUGGAAGUAUUUAUAGAAUGAAAUUCAAAACAGUGUAGCUGUGGCCAUUGAUUGACACAUUAAAAUCAUCCAUUGACUGGGACAAUUUAGGUGAACGUUUGUAUGUAACGACCAAUGCUCACUAUGUACUUUUUAAAGACACUUAAACUA